AGAGUUUGAUCCUGGCUCAGGACGAACGCUGGCGGCGUGCCUAAUGCAUGCAAGUCGAGCGGGCUACGAUCUUCGGAUUGUAGCUUAGCGGCGAACGGGUGAGUAACACGUAGGCAAUCUACCCUUCAGAGGAGGACAACCUCAGGAAACUGAGGCUAAACCUUCAUACGUUCACUGGUAGGGAUACUGGUGAAGAAAGAGUUACCUUAGUGGUAGCUGCUGAAGGAUGAGCCUGCGGCCCAUCAGGUAGUUGGUGAGGUAACGGCUCACCAAGCCGAAGACGGGUAACCGGUCUGAGAGGAUGUCCGGUCACACUGGGACUGAGACACGGCCCAGACUCCUACGGGAGGCAGCAGCAGGGAAUCUUGGGCAAUGGGCGAAAGCCUGACCCAGCGACGCCGCGUGGAGGAAGAAGUCCUUCGGGGCGUAAACUCCUGGACUGGGGGACGAGGAAGGACGGUACCCCAGUAGAAAGGGACGGCUAACUACGUGCCAGCAGCCGCGGUAAAACGUAGGUCCCGAGCGUUGUUCGGAUUCACUGGGUGUAAAGGGCGCGUAGGUGGUUGUCUGUGUCUCAUGUGAAAACUCAGGGCUCAACUCUGAGAUUGCGUGGGAAACUAGGCAGCUAGAGGACGGUAGAGGGGAGUGGAAUUCCCGGUGUAGCGGUAAAAUGCGUAGAUAUCGGGAGGAACACCGGUGGCGAAGGCGGCUCUCUGGGCCGAUCCUGACGCUGAGGCGCGAAAGCUAGGGGAGCGAACCGGAUUAGAUACCCGGGUAGUCCUAGCCGUAAACGAUGGGUGCUAGGUGUUGGGGGGUAAAGACCCUUCAGUGCCGAAGCCAACGCGAUAAGCAUCCCACCUGGGGGAGUACGGCCGCAAGGUUGAAACUCAAAUGAAUUGACGG
RNAcentral lists this ribosomal RNA (903 nucleotides) under uncultured bacterium. RNAcentral describes it as "bacterial SSU rRNA". It matches the Rfam family "Bacterial small subunit ribosomal RNA", at positions 8 to 916 of the family's 1533-position model. The record is from RNAcentral.